Molecule: small nuclear RNA, 20 nt
Filed under: Arabidopsis thaliana (thale cress)
Lineage: Eukaryota; Viridiplantae; Streptophyta; Magnoliopsida; Brassicales; Brassicaceae
Description: snRNA_00995
Source: RNAcentral
CUGUUUUAAUAAGGAUUAAA